UGGGGCCUUCUGGGCUUCAGAGGAGCCUCUGGUGGGGGGAGUUUCUGCUCCCCUAAGGCUCCUCUGAGGCUCAGGAAGGAAAAAAAAACAGCAUAGGAGGGCCACGCAGCACCCCUCCACACUCCAUUUUGGGAGCUUCCUGGCCUCAGAAGAGCCUCUGGGGUGGUGUUAUUGCUCCCCCAAGGCU
Pseudonaja textilis is the source of this 187-nucleotide non-coding RNA. The record is from RefSeq and is a predicted model, not a curated record. Lineage: Eukaryota; Metazoa; Chordata; Lepidosauria; Squamata; Elapidae.